Molecule: ribosomal RNA, 456 nt
Filed under: uncultured Acidithiobacillus sp.
Lineage: Bacteria; Pseudomonadati; Pseudomonadota; Acidithiobacillia; Acidithiobacillales; Acidithiobacillaceae
Description: bacterial SSU rRNA
Rfam family: Bacterial small subunit ribosomal RNA
Source: RNAcentral
AGGGUUUGAUUCUGGCUCAGGUUGAACGCUGGCGGCAUGCCUAACACAUGCAAGUCGAACGGUAACAGGUCUUCGGAUGCUGACGAGUGGCGGACGGGUGGGUAAUGCGUAGGAAUCUGUCUUUUAGUGGGGGACAACCCAGGGAAACUUGGGCUAAUACCGCAUGAGCCCUGAGGGGGAAAGCGGGGGAUCUUCGGACCUCGCGCUAAGAGAAGAGCCUACGUCUGAUUAGCUAGUUAGUAGGGUAAAGGCCUACCAAGGCGACGAUCAGUAGCUGGUCUGAGAGGACGACCAGCCACACUGGGACUGAGACACGGCCCAGACUCCUACGGGAGGCAGCAGUGGGGAAUUUUUCGCAAUGGGGGCAACCCUGACGAAGCAAUGCCGCGUGGAUGAAGAAGGCCUUCGGGUUGUAAAGUCCUUUCGUGGGGGACGAAAAGGANGUUCCUAAUCGAG